CUAUGCCUGAGUUUUUAUGCCAAGGGUUGCACAAGCCUUUUUCUGGGGUUUGCAUGCUAUUCUCCACUUUUAGCUUGUUCUGUUACUGAAAAACAAAAGCUAUGAUAUUUAGCCCAAGUAUUGGUUAUUCUCAAGUUAAAUUUUGUCUUCUGGAUAUUCCAGCUAUACUCUAACUGAGAAAGUUUGCAGAACCACUUUACACCUGUGGGUACAAUGUUUUUCUUUAUUCAUAAAAUUGACAUUUAGCCUACAGAUUUUCUUGAAAUUUCAGCCAGCAUUUAGUACCCAUACCCAGGGGAUGGUGCUGGCCCAAGUCAGACCUCAUCAGAGCUCAGCAUGCAAGUAUGAGGUGGGUAAGAAAAGAGGCAAGAUACACUGUAAAGGGUACUGGUGAAAGAAGAUCAGUGAAGCAGAAAAUAAAGGCUUUACCCGGUUGUUUGGCCCCAAUCCCUCACACUUGCAAGAGCUUUAUGACAACGGUGUAAGUCCUCCUGUGGCACUUAAGGGUGCCACUUCUGGUUCUGUAGCUCUGGUGUUUGGAGAAAAUCGGCUGUGCUGUGCAUAAACUUUGCGAAAUGGAAAAUACCAGAGCACCGCUGAAUCCAAGGGAAAAAUGUUGCUAGCUGAGCAGCGUGGAAGAAGCGGCCUAAGGCAGGCAGGGGUGGCAACACGUGAACUGGUACUCUUCCUAAUAAACGCUUCUGCUUCCAGCCGGCUGCACAGUCAUGAAGGGUAAACAAGCGGUGUUCCGAAGGGGACUGUCGAUCCUCUUUUGUUGCCAGUUCAGAGAGUCCCGGUGGCUGAGUAUCAGAGUGUUCCAUCUCAUUUGCCCUUGGUGUUGCUGUAGGUAAUCUGGAAGUCUGUUUUUGAGGAGCCUGGGAUGGCAACGGGGGAGCUUCCUUCCGGGUGCUGGGACCAACUGAGCUUCACUGCCCUAGCAGCCUGGGAUGGAGGUGGGGAGCUUCCUUCCAGGUGCUGGGACCGGCUGAGCUUCACUCCCUAUCAUUUCUUCAUAUUCUUUUGGUCUAUGUGUGUUUAUGUGUCAAAUUCAAUUAAAACAACACUGAGACUUCACCUUAUUCCAGAAACAAUGCCAGUCAUCAAGACAUCAAAUAAUCACAAAUACUAGGGAGACUGUAGUGAAAAAGAAUCCUUCUACAUUGUUGGUGGGAAUGUAAACUAG
RNAcentral lists this long non-coding RNA (1183 nucleotides) under Heterocephalus glaber (naked mole-rat). RNAcentral's name for it is "lncRNA (ENSHGLG00000033142.1)". The record is from RNAcentral. Lineage: Eukaryota; Metazoa; Chordata; Mammalia; Rodentia; Bathyergidae.